GACGAACGCUGGCGGCGUGCUUAACACAUGCAAGUCGAACGCUGAAGCUCAGCUUUUGUUGGGUGGAUGAGUGGCGAACGGGUGAGUAACACGUGAGUAACCUGCCUCCUUCUUUGGGAUAACGCCCGGAAACGGGUGCUAAUACUGGAUAUUCACUGGUCUUCGCAUGGGGGUUGGUGGAAAGGGUUUUUCUGGUGGGGGAUGGGCUCGCGGCCUAUCAGCUUGUUGGUGGGGUGAUGGCCUACCAAGGCUUUGACGGGUAGCCGGCCUGAGAGGGUGACCGGUCACAUAGGGGCUGAGAUACGGCCCAGACUCCGACGGGAGGCAGCAGUGGGGAAUAUUGCACAAUGGGCGCAAGCCUGAUGCAGCGACGCCGCGUGAGGGAUGGAGGCCUUCGGGUUGUGAACCUCUUUCGCUCAUGGUCAAGCCGCAACAAUGGUUGUGGUGAGGGUAGUGGGUAAAGAAGCGCCGGCUAACUACGUG
Molecule: ribosomal RNA, 483 nt
Filed under: uncultured bacterium
Lineage: Bacteria
Description: partial 16S ribosomal RNA
Rfam family: Bacterial small subunit ribosomal RNA
Source: RNAcentral